AGUGAACGCUGGCGGUAGGCCUAACACAUGCAAGUCGAACGGCAGCACAGUAAGAGCUUGCUCUUACGGGUGGCGAGUGGCGGACGGGUGAGGAAUACAUCGGAAUCUACUUUUUCGUGGGGGAUAACGUAGGGAAACUUACGCUAAUACCGCAUACGACCUACGGGUGAAAGCAGGGGAUCUUCGGACCUUGCGCGAUUGAAUGAGCCGAUGUCGGAUUAGCUAGUUGGCGGGGUAAGGGCCCACCAAGGCGACGAUCCGUAGCUGGUCUGAGAGGAUGAUCAGCCACACUGGAACUGAGACACGGUCCAGACUCCUACGGGAGGCAGCAGUGGGGAAUAUUGGACAAUGGGCGAAAGCCUGAUCCAGCCAUACUGCGUGGGUGAAGAAGGCCUUCGGGUUGUAAAGCCCUUUUGUUGGGAAAGAAAAGCAGCAGGUUAAUACCCCGCUGUUCUGACGGUACCCAAAGAAUAAGCACCGGCUAACUUCGUG
Molecule: ribosomal RNA, 492 nt
Filed under: uncultured bacterium
Lineage: Bacteria
Description: partial 16S ribosomal RNA
Rfam family: Bacterial small subunit ribosomal RNA
Source: RNAcentral